GGAGGGCAAGUCUGGUGCCAGCAGCCGCGGUAAUUCCAGCUCCAAUAGCGUAUAUUAAAGUUGUUGUGGUUAAAAAGCUCGUAGUUGAACCUUGGGCCUGGCUGGCCGGUCCGCCUCACCGCGUGUACUGGUCCGGCCGGGCCUUUCCCUCUGUGGAACCCCAUGCCCUUCACUGGGUGUGGCGGGGAAACAGGACUUUUACUUUGAAAAAAUUAGAGUGUUCAAAGCAGGCCUUUGCUCGAAUACAUUAGCAUGGAAUAAUAGAAUAGGACGUGUGGUUCUAUUUUGUUGGUUUCUAGGACCGCCGUAAUGAUUAAUAGGGAUAGUCGGGGGCGUCAGUAUUCGGCUGUCAGAGGUGAAAUUCUUGGAUUUGCUGAAGACUAACUACUGCGAAAGCAUUCGCCAAGGAUGUUUUCAUUAAUCAGGGAACGAAAGUUAGGGGAUCGAAGACGAUCAGAUACCGUCGUAGUCUUAACCAUAAACUAUGCCGACUAGGGAUCGGACGGGAUUCUAUGAUGACCCGUUCGGCACCUUACGGGAAAC
This 543-nucleotide ribosomal RNA is filed under the name uncultured fungus. Its description in RNAcentral is "SSU rRNA". It matches the Rfam family "Eukaryotic small subunit ribosomal RNA", at positions 550 to 1098 of the family's 1831-position model. Lineage: Eukaryota; Fungi. The record is from RNAcentral.